AAAAGACUUAGUCCUAACCUUACUGUUAAUUUUCGCUAGACAUAUACAUGCAAGUAUCCGCACCCCAGUGUAAAUGCCCUUAAUGUCUCCCCAUUAGACAAAAGGAGCAGGUAUCAGGCACACUAUCUAUGUAGCCCAAAACGCCUUGCUUAGCCACACCCCCACGGGUACUCAGCAGUAAUUAACAUUAAGCAAUAAGUGUAAACUUGACUUAGCCAUGGCGACCCCCAAGGGUUGGUAAAUCUUGUGCCAGCCACCGCGGUCACACAAGAGACCCAAACUAACAGUAGCCGGCGUAAAGAGUGGUAAUAUGUUAUCCAACCAAAUUAAGACCCAAACACAGCUAAGCUGUCACAAGCCCAAGAUGUUCCUAAAAUCACCAUAAAAAUGGUCUUAACACCCACGAUCAAUUUCACCCCACGAAAGCUAAGGCACAAACUGGGAUUAGAUACCCCACUAUGCUUAGCCUUAAAUCAUGAUACUUACCCCACCUAAGUAUCCGCCCGAGAACUACGAGCACAAACGCUUAAAACUCUAAGGACUUGGCGGUGCCCUAAACCCACCUAGAGGAGCCUGUUCUAUAAUCGAUAAUCCACGAUUCACCCAACCACCCCUUGCCAUGCAGCCUACAUACCGCCGUCGCCAGCCCGCCUCAUGAGAGAACAAUAGCGAGCACAAUAGCCCACCCGCUAACAAGACAGGUCAAGGUAUAGCAUAUGGAGUGGAAGAAAUGGGCUACAUUUUCUAACAUAGAAUACACACGAAAGAGGAUAUGAAAUCAUCCUCAGAAGGCGGAUUUAGCAGUAAAAUAGAAUAAGAGAGUCUAUUUUAAGUCGGCUCUAGGGCACGUACAUACCGCCCGUCACCCUCCUCAAAAGCUAUAACACCCCAUACAUAAUAAGCUCCGCAGCUGAAGAUGAGGUAAGUCGUAACAAGGUAAGUGUACCGGAAGGUGCACUUAGCAUAUC
This 968-nucleotide non-coding RNA is filed under the name Struthio camelus (African ostrich). RNAcentral's name for it is "12S ribosomal RNA". It matches the Rfam family "Bacterial small subunit ribosomal RNA". The record is from RNAcentral. Lineage: Eukaryota; Metazoa; Chordata; Aves; Struthioniformes; Struthionidae.